AGUGAACGCUGGCGGUAGGCCUAACACAUGCAAGUCGAACGGCAGCACAGGAGAGCUUGCUCUCUGGGUGGCGAGUGGCGGACGGGUGAGGAAUACAUCGGAAUCUACUCUGUCGUGGGGGAUAACGUAGGGAAACUUACGCUAAUACCGCAUACGACCUACGGGUGAAAGCAGGGGACCUUCGGGCCUUGCGCGAUUGAAUGAGCCGAUGUCGGAUUAGCUAGUUGGCGGGGUAAAGGCCCACCAAGGCGACGAUCCGUAGCUGGUCUGAGGGGAUGAUCAGCCACAAGGGAACUGAGACCCGGUCCAGACUCCUACGGGAGGCAGCAGUGGGGAAUAUUGGACAAUGGGCGCAAGCCGGAUCCAGCCAGACCGCGUGGGUGAAGAGGGCCUUCGGGUUGUAAAGCCCUUUUGUUGGGAAAGGAAUCCAGCUGGCUAAUACCCGGUUGGGAUGACGGUACCCAAAGAAUAAGCACCGGCUAACUUCGUGCCAGCAGCCGCCGCAG
This 506-nucleotide ribosomal RNA is filed under the name uncultured bacterium. RNAcentral describes it as "partial 16S ribosomal RNA". It matches the Rfam family "Bacterial small subunit ribosomal RNA", at positions 29 to 523 of the family's 1533-position model. The record is from RNAcentral.